RNAcentral lists this ribosomal RNA (423 nucleotides) under uncultured bacterium. Its description in RNAcentral is "bacterial SSU rRNA". It matches the Rfam family "Bacterial small subunit ribosomal RNA", at positions 356 to 772 of the family's 1533-position model. The record is from RNAcentral.
GGGGAAUUGUUCGCAAUGGGCGCAAGCCUGACGACGCAACGCCGCGUGGAGGAUGAAGGUCUUCGGAUUGUAAACUCCUGUUGCUCGGGACGAAAUGCUUCGACCUAACACGUCGAAGUUUGACGGUACCGAGUGAGGAAGCCCCGGCUAACUCUGUGCCAGCAGCCGCGGUAAGACAGAGGGGGCAAGCGUUGUCCGGAGUUACUGGGCGUAAAGCGUGCGUAGGCGGAUGGGUAAGUGGGUCGUGAAAGCGCCGGGCUAAACCGGGCGAGGACGAACUAGACUGCUCGUCUAGAGGCGGAUAGAGGGGUGCGGAAUUCCGGGUGUAGCGGUGAAAUGUGUAGAGAUCCGGAGGAACACCAGUGGUGCAAACGGCGCCCUGGGUCCGCACUGACGCUGAGGCACGAAAGCGUGGGGAGCGAA